UGGGGAAUAUUGGACAAUGGGCGCAAGCCUGAUCCAGCAAUGCCGCGUGUGUGAAGAAGGCCUUCGGGUUGUAAACUGCUUUUGUACGGAACGAAAAGCCCUUCUCUAAUACAGAGGGGUCAUGACGGUACCGUAAGAAUAAGCACCGGCUAACUACGUGCCAGCAGCCGCGGUAAUACGUAGGGUGCGAGCGUUAAUCGGAAUUACUGGGCGUAAAGCGUGCGCAGGCGGUUAUGUAAGACAGUUGUGAAAUCCCCGGGCUCAACCUGGGAAUUGCAUCUGUGACUGCAUAGCUAGAGUACGGCAGAGGGGGAUGGAAUUCCGCGUGUAGCAGUGAAAUGCGUAGAUAUGCGGAGGAACACCGAUGGCGAAGGCAAUCCCCUGGGCCUGCACUGACGCUCAUGCACGAAAGCGGGGGGAGAAAAAA
RNAcentral lists this ribosomal RNA (427 nucleotides) under uncultured bacterium. RNAcentral describes it as "bacterial SSU rRNA". It matches the Rfam family "Bacterial small subunit ribosomal RNA", at positions 355 to 774 of the family's 1533-position model. The record is from RNAcentral.